This 912-nucleotide small RNA is filed under the name Pan troglodytes (chimpanzee). RNAcentral's name for it is "processed transcript". Lineage: Eukaryota; Metazoa; Chordata; Mammalia; Primates; Hominidae. The record is from RNAcentral.
UGAUGAUAUCAACAAAUUUCUCUGGAUGGUUAGGAUAGCUGAAGGAGAACAUCCCAAAGACAUUCGGGAAAGUGACUAUUUUACCCCACAGGGAGAAUUCCGUGUAGACAAAGCAGGAUCCCCUACUUUGUUGAAUUGCCUUAUGUAUAAAAUGUCAUACUACAGAUUUGGAGAAAUGCAGCUGGAUUUUCGUACACCCCCAGGUUUUGACCGAACACGUAAUGCUGAGAUUGGAAAUAAGGACAUUAAAUUCAAACAUUUGGAAGAAGCCUUUACAUCAGAACACUGGCUUGUUAGGAUAUAUAAAGUAAAAGCACCUGAUAACAGGGAGACAUUAGAUCACAAACCUCGAGUCACCAACAUUUUCCCAAAACAGAAGUAUUUGUCAAAGAAGGUGGGUGCCAAGUGAAGGCAUUAAAGGGUAACUUAAGACUACCAAAAGGAAGCGUGGCUACAUUAAAAAUAAGCUGGUUUUUAAGAAAGGCAAGAAAAUAUCUAAGAAGACUGUUUAAAUGCACUGUUCUGGUUCCUAACUUGAAGCAGUUGUCCUUGUGAGAACCGGUCUUUGCCUUUAGCUCAUGUCGUGUUUCACAGCAAAGAGGGUACAGAACCAUCACUGGUCCAGGUUAAUGUACAAAAUUUUCUGGCAAUGCCUGAUUAAAAAAAUAAAAUUGGCUUGUUGAGAACAGCUGUUUUCGAUUUCUAAUGUGAAGCAAGACAGAGCACUGCUGUAAAUGUCUAGCAGCAGAUUUUUUUUUUAUUGGUACAUAUUAUCCUUCAAAUCUGAGAAUUUGGACUAACUGCACCAAAGAACCCUCUAAUUUGGUCCCUGGCACAUGCAUACUUGUCAAUGUUUUUAUUCUUUUACAAGACCUGCAUUUUAUUUGAAUUACCCGAAUAGCAAUAUGUAAA